This 450-nucleotide ribosomal RNA is filed under the name uncultured bacterium. RNAcentral's name for it is "bacterial SSU rRNA". It matches the Rfam family "Bacterial small subunit ribosomal RNA", at positions 331 to 792 of the family's 1533-position model. The record is from RNAcentral.
CCAGACUCCUACGGGAGGCAGCAGUAGGGAAUUUUCGGCAAUGGGGGGAACCCUGACCGAGCAACGCCGCGUGAACGAAGAAGUUAUUCGUAAUGUAAAGUUCUUUUAUCAGGGAAGAAAGAGGAAUUUGACGGUACCUGAGGAAUAAGCUCCGGCUAACUACGUGCCAGCAGCCGCGGUAAUACGUAGGGAGCGAGCGUUAUCCGGAAUUAUUGGGCGUAAAGGGUGCGUAGAUGGCAUAGUAAGUCUUUUGUAAAAAUGCUGGGCUCAACCCAGUAGGGCAAAAGAUACUGCAAAGCUAGAGUAUGACAGAGGCAAGUGGAACUACAUGUGUAGCGGUAAAAUGCGUAAAUAUAUGUAAGAACACCAGUGGCGAAGGCGGCUUGCUGGGUCGAUACUGACAUUGAGGCACGAAAGCGUGGGGAGCAAACAGGAUUAGAUACCCUAGUA